RNAcentral lists this transfer RNA (71 nucleotides) under Liachirus melanospilos (carpet sole). RNAcentral's name for it is "tRNA-Gln". It matches the Rfam family "tRNA". From Rfam's summary of the family: Transfer RNA (tRNA) molecules are approximately 80 nucleotides in length. Their secondary structure includes four short double-helical elements and three loops (D, anti-codon, and T loops). The record is from RNAcentral. Lineage: Eukaryota; Metazoa; Chordata; Actinopteri; Pleuronectiformes; Soleidae.
UAGGAAGUGGUGUAGUGGAAGCACUAGGAGUUUUGAUCUCCUCAGUUUGGGUUCGAGUCCCAUCUUUCUAA